AGUGGGUUGUCAUUCCGGGCGCUGAAUUCGAGAGUUGCUUGUCCGGUGGAGGUAUUCGAGUGCGGUUUCGGCAAUUGAGGUGGAUGCAUUCCUUAGUUUAUUUCAUAGAUACUAGUCGGGGUACCCCACGUGGCAGUUAAUAUUCUAGCGGAUUGUGUAUUCUCAGAUUAGUGGUGAGGUUCCAGAAUUCGGAUCGUCACUAGUCUAUCUUUAUUUUUCAGUCUUUUGUAUCAUUCAGAGACUUAUGUUGUAUCUUCAGAUUCGAACCUUGUAUUAGAUGCUCUUUAUACUUAUGACACCAGGUUUUGGGAUAAUUUCU
Long non-coding RNA from Solanum dulcamara, 319 nucleotides. RefSeq lists it as uncharacterized. The transcript is spliced from 3 exons. Lineage: Eukaryota; Viridiplantae; Streptophyta; Magnoliopsida; Solanales; Solanaceae. The record is from RefSeq and is a predicted model, not a curated record.